RNAcentral lists this ribosomal RNA (775 nucleotides) under uncultured Neocallimastigales. RNAcentral's name for it is "partial large subunit ribosomal RNA". It matches the Rfam family "Eukaryotic large subunit ribosomal RNA", at positions 23 to 634 of the family's 3401-position model. The record is from RNAcentral. Lineage: Eukaryota; Fungi; Neocallimastigomycota; Neocallimastigomycetes; Neocallimastigales.
AGAGAGAGACAUGCGCGCAUAUCAAUAAGCGGAGGAAAAGAAACUAACAAGGAUUCCCUUAGUAACGGCGAGUGAAGCGGGAAGAGCUCAAAUUUGAAAUCUUCAAGGUUUUACCUUGACGAAUUGUAGUUUAAAGAAGUGUUUUCUGCUGAAGUUUUGGUAAAAGUUCUUUGGAAUAGGACAUCAUAGAGGGUGAGAAUCCCGUAUUUGACCAUUAUUCUCAGCUUUGUGAUACACUUUCAAAGAGUCGGAUUGUUUGGGAAUGCAGUCCAAGAUGGGUGGUAAAUUUCAUCUAAAGCUAAAUAUUGGCGAGAGACCGAUAGCGAACAAGUACCGUGAGGGAAAGAUGAAAAGAACUUUGAAAAGAGAGUUAAACAGUACGUGAAAUUGUCAAAAGGGAAGCGUUUGACACCAGUGUUGUUUUCUCGAAAAUCAAUUAAAAAUGGCUCGAUUUUGUAUUGUUGAGACCUUAAAAGCUCACUGUACAUUUUUCGUGUCUUUUUUAAUGCACUUUUCGUUUAACAAGUCAACAUCAGUUUCUUUUGUUGUAAAAGGGUCAUUGGAAGGUGGCUUUCUUUUCGGAGAAAGUGUUUAUAGCCUUUGGCCUCUGCAAUCGGAAGAGACUGAGGUCUGCAGCGUAGACUCUUCGGGGUUAGAUACAUUUGUGCUAAGUUAUAGCUUUUUAUAGACAACUUGUUGACUAUAAUUAGUCUUGUAGCUUACUCGCUUAUGCUAUUUUACCUACGCUUAGGAUGUUGAAGAUGUAGCACAUCAU